GAUGAAGUAGAGCAGAGCUGGGAGCUGAGGACCUGGACCAAUGACUUUGAGGGAGAGGAGCAAGGGGUCCUGGGUGAGAAGGUCACAGAGUGUACUGAGCAGAUAUUGUCAUCCUAAAUGGGAUCCUUGUCACCUGUCAUCCUAAGUGGAUCACACUCCCACUUAUCCAGAGCUUGCUGUGGGCCUGGCAAUGGGCUAAACAUCUGCCAUGUAAUCCUCACAGCACAGAAGCCAGUUCCAUCAUCAGUCAGGCUCACACAUGAGGAUGUGGAUGCCCAGAGAGGCCUCUGCUGCAUUGCCAGUGGGGAGAUGCUACAGGAAGACAGACUGUGGCACAGAAAAAGAGGGAUGUACAAAUCCACCUGACCAAAAAAGCAGCCUGAUCCUGGAGGGGGUGAAAUGCCUGACACUGGAGAUGGUGACAUAGGUUUCCUUUUAAGAAUAAAGCAAAAAAAAAUUCUGAUAAGAGACUUGAAUAUAUAAGGAACUCUUAUAACUCAACAAUAAAAAGACAAAUACAAUGAAAACAUGAGCAGAGAAUUUGAACAGACAUUUCUCCAAAGAAGACAUACAAAUUGCCAAUAAGCACAUGAAAAGAUGCUCAACAUCAUUAGUCAUUAGGGAAACACAAAUCAAAACCACAAUGAGAUACCAUUGCAUUUCAAACUACAAUGUGAUUAUCACUUUACUAGAACGGCUAAACCUGGUGAAAUUGGAAUGCUUGUACAUCACUGGUGGGAUUGUAAAAUGGUGCAGCCACUUAGGAAAUAGUCCAUCAGUUCCUCAAAAAGUUAAACUUGGUGUUGUCACAUGACCCAGCAAUUCCUUUGCUUGGUAUAUACCCAAGAAAAAUGACAACAUACGUCCAUACAAAUACUUGUACACAAAUAUCGAUAGUAGCAUUAUUUAAAAAUAGUCAAGAAGUAGAAAAAACUCAAAUGUCUGUCAAUGGAUGAAUGGCUGAACAAAAUGUGGUAUGUACAUACAAUGGAAUAGCAUUUGGCCAUAAAAAGAGAUGGAGUACUGACACAGGCUGCAACAUGGGGAAUCUUGAAAACCGUGUGCUAAUUGAGAGAAGACAUUCACGAAAGGUCACCUAUUGUAUGAUUCCAUUUAUAUGAAAUGUCCAGAAUGGACAAAUCCAGAGAAAAAAAAGUCAGUGGUUUCCAGGGGCUGGGGUAGGGAAGAAUGGGAAGAGGCUGAUAAAAGGUACAGGAUUUCUUUUUGGAGGAAAUGAGAAAUGUUCUGAAAUUCAAUAGCAGUGGUGCUUGCAUGACUCUGUGAAUAUACUAAAAACCACUGAAUUAUACAUUUUAAAAGGGUGAAUUUGGCCGGGCUUGGUGGCUCAUGCCUGUGACCCCAGCACUUUGGAAGGCUGAGGAGGGAGGGUUGUUUGAGGCCAGGAGUUUGAGACCAGCCUGGACAACAUAGCAACACCUCAUCUCUACAAAAAAAUACAAAAAUUAGCUGGGCAUGCUGGCUCACACCUGUAGUUCCAGCUACUUGGAAGACUGAGGCAGGAGGAUCACUUGAGCCCAGGAGGCCAAGGCUGUAGUAAGCCAUGAUUGUACUACUGCACUCCAGCCUGGGUGACAGAGUGAGACCCUGUCUCAAUAAAAAAAGGGUGAAUUUUAUACUAUGUGAAUUAUAUCUCAAUAAAGCUGUUAUAAAAAUAAAGUGAAGAAAAAUGAUAAUUUAAAGAAAAAGGCCAACAGCCCCAGUACAGGGACACAUGGAUCUUUGGCAAAGUCAUAGAAGACUCAUGUGAAUGACUGAAGUUGGUUUGUAGGCUUAUAAGGAUAAACUGCAGACAUCCUAGUUUAACAUUGAAGACCUAUGCUUAACUCUAGCUUCGUGUGCUGCCCUUUUUAAAAUGACUAUGUUGACCUUAUCCCUAUUUCUGGAACACUUAGGAAUCUUUCAAGCUGCUUUGUCUUUGCAAAUUUUGGGCCCUCCCUGGGAUGUCCCUUCUCCUUUUCUUCAUCUGGUUGAACCCAAGUCAAUAUAGGUGGGCUUGAUAGGGGAUGGGGCAUGUGCCAGGCACUGAGCUUGGUGCUGGUGAGACAGUGCAGAGGACUAAGACAGAUAUGGUCUGGGGCCUUGGCUGGCUCCCAGACAGGGUGAGGAGACAGAUGAGGACCUGCCACACCCACACUGGGCUGCAGGAAUGCAGUAGAAGAACCUAACACAGCCUGAGAGAUCAGAGAAGGCUUCCCCAGAAAGGGACGCUUCAGCUGAGUAGUUGGCCAGGCAAAGAAGAGGGGAGGAGUGCCCCAGAUGGAGGGAACAGUCUGGGCGAAAGCCUCAAGACAGCGCGCAGCAAGUUGGAGGAAUCCUCAGAAGGUGGGUGUGGCUGGAACACAGCCCAGAAGGUGGUGAGUGCUGAGAAACGGUCCUAGAGAGAAAGCCGGAGCCUGGGGAUCAGGGCCCUCAUAGGCCAUGCCAAGGAAUCUGGAUACUUGCAGAGCUCAGUUAGAUUGCAUACAACGCUAGCUGGGUGUGGUGGCGCACCCCUGUAGUCCCAGCUACUCAGGAGGCUGAGGCAGGAGAAUCGCUUCAACUCCAGAGGCAGAGGUUGCAGUGAGCCGAGAUUGCAUCACUGCACUCCAGCCUGGGCAACAGAGUGAGACUCUGUCGCAAAAAAAAAAAAAAAAAAAAAAAAAAAAAGAUUCCAUACAACUCCAAAUGAUGGCUGUUUGACUAUUUUUUCUUCACAUCACGGAUCACCCCUGCCGUUAUACAUCCAUCUGUUGAUUGUCUUUCCCCCUACUAGAAAGGACAAGGACUUUGUGCUGUUCACUGCUGUGUCCCCAACAGCCAGAAGAGUGCCUGGCUCACACAGACACUCAAUAAAUACGUAUUGAAUGCAUGACUUUACUGGCCUGUGUCCUCUGCUUACUGAGUUAUUGAAAGUCAGGGACCUGUUGGAUUCAUCAUUGCGUCCCCAGGGCCUAGCACAGAGCUUGAUGCACAUGCUGUUUAAUAAAUAUUGAAAGAAUAAAUGAAUGGAAAAACGUCUUCCCCAAUGUGUUACACACUCCCGCAGGGCCGGGACUAUUUGAUUUAUGUAUCUAGCGC
Molecule: long non-coding RNA, 3078 nt
Filed under: Homo sapiens (human)
Lineage: Eukaryota; Metazoa; Chordata; Mammalia; Primates; Hominidae
Description: HSALNT0267879
Source: RNAcentral